RNAcentral lists this ribosomal RNA (567 nucleotides) under uncultured archaeon. RNAcentral describes it as "bacterial SSU rRNA". It matches the Rfam family "Archaeal small subunit ribosomal RNA", at positions 326 to 900 of the family's 1478-position model. The record is from RNAcentral.
CGGGGUGCAGCAGGCGCGAAACCUUUACAAUGCUGGCAACAGCGAUAGGGGGACCUCGAGUGCCAGGUUACAAAUCUGGCUGUCGUUGUGUCUAAAAAACACGAUAUAGCAAGGGCCGGGCAAGACCGGUGCCAGCCGCCGCGGUAACACCGGCGGCUCGAGUGGUAACCGUUAUUAUUGGGUUUAAAGGGUCUGUAGCCGGCCUGGUUAGUCCUUUGGGAAAUCCGGCAGCUCAACUGUCGGGCUUUCAGAGGAUACUGCCAGGCUCGAGACCGGGAGAGGUAAGAGGUACUUCAGGGGUAGGGGUGAAAUCUUGUAAUCCUUGAAGGACCACCAGUGGCGAAGGCGUCUUACCAGAACGGAUCUGACGGCAAGGGACGAAAGCUAGGGGCACGAACCGGAUUAGAUACCCGGGUAGUCCUAGCCGUAAACGAUACUCGCUAGGUGUCGGCCACGGUGCGACCGUGGUCGGUGCCGUAGGGAAACCGUGAAGCGAGCCACCUGGGAAGUACGGCCGCAAGGCUGAAACUUAAAGGAAUUGGCGGGGGAGCCAAGGGCGAAUCGCGG